Molecule: long non-coding RNA, 507 nt
Organism: Plectropomus leopardus (leopard coralgrouper)
Lineage: Eukaryota; Metazoa; Chordata; Actinopteri; Perciformes; Serranidae
Source: RefSeq, a predicted model, not a curated record
ACAAAGUCCUGCUGGUUGACAUCUUUCACCGUGACGCUGGGCAUCUGAAAAAGCAAAACGGAGACCAGGCAAAGGCUUUUCAAGAAGUGUGCUGCAGUCAGCAGGCGAGGAGGAGAGAGCAACCAGAAGACACCAUCAGUGGAUGGUUCAGCCUCUGAGACAACCCAAACUUUUUAACCGAAGAUUUUUCUAAGGAAUGCCCCGGUCAACCAUAGAAGCUCCCCAGUGAGAAGAGAGCCAUGGGAAAAGCCUCAAACUAGACCCUGGUUGUGAGGGUGUGAUCCGGUCCAUUUUGUGCAGACGUGUCAAGACGAAACGUUUCAUGUCGGACUGCAUCGGCAUCGAUAAAAAACAACGAGACUGAAAAUGACAAAAUACAAGACCUGUCGUCGAGGGACAGUUUGAUACUGUCAUCCCCUCCGUGCUGAUUCAUUUCUAGACAUUUCAAAGCUCCUCGCAGCAACUGAAAGUAUUAAUUUUUAUGAAAAAGAUGUGCAUUAUCAUAGG